This is a non-coding RNA of Triticum aestivum (bread wheat), 124 nucleotides long. Lineage: Eukaryota; Viridiplantae; Streptophyta; Magnoliopsida; Poales; Poaceae. The record is from Rfam.
CUUAUACUCCCUCCGUCCAGAAUCACUUGUCGUGGAAAUAGAUGUAUCUAGAUGAAUUUAAUUCUAGAUACAUCCAUUUUUAUCCAUUUCCGCGACAAACAAAUCGGGACGGAGUUAGUAUUUU